UGUGUAUUUUCAGAUGGCGAGAUGAGUCCC
This 30-nucleotide non-coding RNA is filed under the name Mus musculus (house mouse). The record is from RNAcentral. Lineage: Eukaryota; Metazoa; Chordata; Mammalia; Rodentia; Muridae.